Molecule: ribosomal RNA, 495 nt
Filed under: uncultured bacterium
Lineage: Bacteria
Description: partial 16S ribosomal RNA
Rfam family: Bacterial small subunit ribosomal RNA
Source: RNAcentral
GACGAACGCUGGCGGCGUGCCUAAUACAUGCAAGUAGAACGCUGAAGGAGGAGCUUGCUUCUCUGGAUGAGUUGCGAACGGGUGAGUAACGCGUAGGUAACCUGCCUGGUAGCGGGGGAUAACUAUUGGAAACGAUAGCUAAUACCGCAUAAGAGUAGAUGUUGCAUGACAUUUGCUUAAAAGGUGCAAUUGCCUCACUACCAGAUGGACCUGCGUUGUAUUAGCUAGUUGGUGGGGUAACGGCUCACCAAGGCGACGAUACAUAGCCGACCUGAGAGGGGGAUCGGCCACACUGGGACGGAGACACGGCCCAGACGCCUACGGGAAGCAGCAGUAGGGAAUCGUCGGGAAGGGGCGGAAGUCUGACCGAGCAACGCCGAGUGAGUGAAGAAGGUUUUCGGAUCGGAAAGCUCGGUUGCAAGAGAAGAACGAGUGUGAGAGUGGAAAGUUCACACUGUGACGGUAUCUUACCAGAAAGGAACGGCUAACUACGUG